Molecule: ribosomal RNA, 253 nt
Filed under: uncultured bacterium
Lineage: Bacteria
Description: partial 16S ribosomal RNA
Rfam family: Bacterial small subunit ribosomal RNA
Source: RNAcentral
UACGUAGGGUGCAAGCGUUGUCCGGAAUUAUUGGGCGUAAAGAGCUCGUAGGCGGUCUGUCGCGUCGGCUGUGAAAACCCGGGGCUCAACCCCGGGCCUGCAGUCGAUACGGGCAGACUAGAGUGCGGUAGGGGAGACUGGAAUUCCUGGUGUAGCGGUGAAAUGCGCAGAUAUCAGGAGGAACACCGGUGGCGAAGGCGGCUCGCUGGGCCGGUCCUGACACUGAGGCGCGAAGGCGUGGGGAGCGAACGGG